CAUGUGUAGCGGUGAAAUGCGUAGAUAUAUGGAGGAACACCAGUGGCGAAAGCGGCUCUCUGGUCUGUCACUGACGCUGAGGCUCGAAAGCGUGGGUAGCGAACAGGAUUAGAUACCCUGGUAGUNCACGCCGUAAACGAUGAGUGCUAGGUGUUAGGCCCUUUCCGGGGCUUAGUGCCGGAGCUAACGCAAUAAGCACUCCGCCUGGGGAGUACGACCGCAAGGUUGAAACUCAAAGGAAUUGACGGGGGCCCGCACAAGCGGUGGAGCAUGUGGUUUAAUUCGAAGCAACGCGAAGAACCUUACCAGGUCUUGACAUCCCGAUGCUAUUCUUAGAGAUAGGAAGUUACUUCGGUACAUCGGAGACAGGUGGUGCAUGGUUGUCGUCAGCUCGUGUCGUGAGAUGUUGGGUUAAGUCCCGCAACGAGCGCAACCCUUAUUGUUAGUUGCCAUCAUUAAGUUGGGCACUCUAGCGAGACUGCCGGUAAUAAACCGGAGGAAGGUGGGGAUGACGUCAAAUCAUCAUGCCCCUUAUGACCUGGGCUACACACGUGCUACAAUGGUCGGUACAACGAGUUGCGAGCCGGUGACGGCAAGCUAAUCUCUGAAAGCCGAUCUCAGUUCGGAUUGGAGGCUGCAACUCGCCUCCAUGAAGUCGGAAUCGCUAGUAAUCGCGGAUCAGCACGCCGCGGUG
This 694-nucleotide ribosomal RNA is filed under the name uncultured bacterium. RNAcentral's name for it is "bacterial SSU rRNA". It matches the Rfam family "Bacterial small subunit ribosomal RNA", at positions 670 to 1364 of the family's 1533-position model. The record is from RNAcentral.